Cygnus olor (mute swan) is the source of this 156-nucleotide long non-coding RNA. RefSeq lists it as uncharacterized. The transcript is spliced from 3 exons. The record is from RefSeq and is a predicted model, not a curated record. Lineage: Eukaryota; Metazoa; Chordata; Aves; Anseriformes; Anatidae.
GAGAGCUGGAAUUUCUAUCACAAAAUCAAGAAUGGUUUGGAUUGGAAGGGACCUUAAAGAUCAUCUAAUUACAAACCCCCCCACCAUGGGCAGCGACACCGCUCACUAGACCAGGUUGCUCAAAGCCCCAUCCAACCUGGCCUUGAGCACUUCCAG